GGGGUAAAAAAGCAUUUUUCAGGAGAGGAGGAAGGUUUUUCAGAUUAAUUUCUGGGGAAGGUUGGCGUUUCCUCACAGAAGAAGCCCCGGGUAAAUUCCGGUGCCAGCAGCCGGGGGUAAUACGGAGGGUGCAAGCGUUAAUCGGAAUUACUGGGCGUAAAGCGCGCGUAGGUGGUUUGAUAAGCGAGAUGUGAAAGCCCCGGGCUUAACCUGGGAACGGCAUUUCGAACUGUCAGGCUAGAGUGUGGUAGAGGGUAGUGGAAUUUCCUGUGUAGCGGUGAAAUGCGUAGAUAUAGGAAGGAACACCAGUGGCGAAGGCGGCUACCUGGACCAACACUGACACUGAGGUGCGAAAGCGUGGGGAGCAAACAGGAUUAGAUACCCUGGUAGUCCACGCCGUAAACGAUGUCAACUAGCCGUUGGGACUCUUGAAGUCUUAGUGGCGCAGCUAACGCACUAAGUUGACCGCCUGGGGAGUACGGCCGCAAGGUUAAAACUCAAAUGAAUUGACGGGGGCCCGCACAAGCGGUGGAGCAUGUGGUUUAAUUCGACGCAACGCGAAGAACCUUACCUGGCCUUGACAUGCAGAGAACUUUCCAGAGAUGGAUUGGUGCCUUCGGGAACUCUGACACAGGUGCUGCAUGGCCGUCGUCAGCUCGUGUCGUGAGAUGUUGGGUUAAGUCCCGUAACGAGCGCAACCCCUAUCCCUAGUUGCUAGCAGUUCGGCUGAGAACUCUAGGGAGUCUGCCGGUGACAAACCGGAGGAAGGUGGGGAUGACGUCAGGUCAUCAUGGCCCUUGCGGCCAGGGCUACACACGUGCUACAAUGGUGCGCACAGAGGGCUGCAAACCCGCGAGGGGGAGCUAAUCUCACAAAACGCAUCGUAGUCCGGAUCGGAGUCUGCAACUCGACUCCGUGAAGUCGGAAUCGCUAGUAAUCAUGAAUCAGAAUGUCACGGUGAAUACGUUCCCGGGCCUUGUACACACCGCCCGUCACACCAUGGGAGUGGAUUGCACCAGAAGUAGUUAGUCUAACCUUCGGGAGGACGAUUACCACGGUGUGGUUCAUGACUGGGGUGAAGUCGUAACAAGGUAACCGUA
Molecule: ribosomal RNA, 1100 nt
Filed under: uncultured bacterium
Lineage: Bacteria
Description: bacterial SSU rRNA
Rfam family: Bacterial small subunit ribosomal RNA
Source: RNAcentral